Molecule: unclassified non-coding RNA, 300 nt
Filed under: uncultured Cyphellophora
Lineage: Eukaryota; Fungi; Ascomycota; Eurotiomycetes; Chaetothyriales; Herpotrichiellaceae
Description: sequence contains 5.8S rRNA gene, ITS2
Rfam family: 5.8S ribosomal RNA (bases 1-71)
Source: RNAcentral
GUGAAUCAUCGAAUCUUUGAACGCACAUUGCGCCCCCUGGUAUUCCGGAGGGCAUGCCUGUUCGAGCGUCAUUAUCACCCCCCAAGCCCGGCUUGUUGUUGGAUGCAGCGCUUAUCCCGCUCCUCCCAAAGAUAAUGACGGCGUCUGCGACGACUCCUGUACACUGAGCUUUCGGGCACGUACACGGCUAGAAGUCCAGACCCGGUCGCCGUCCCCCCCCGCGGGGACACCCAUUACCACAAGGUUGACCUCGGAUCAGGUAGGAAUACCCGCUGAACUUAAGCAUAUCAAUAAGCGGAG